This 345-nucleotide long non-coding RNA is filed under the name Theobroma cacao (cacao). Its description in RNAcentral is "long non-coding RNA (TCAC_LNC000161)". Lineage: Eukaryota; Viridiplantae; Streptophyta; Magnoliopsida; Malvales; Malvaceae. The record is from RNAcentral.
AUGAAAGCAUAGAAACUAAUAUAUCAUUUAUAAUAAAUGUAAAACAAAAAGAAAAACAUGCGUUAACAGAUUAGUCCAUCUGCAAGAAACGUUUAUAGACAAUUACAUAUUAUAUUUCAAUAGGAAGAUUACAUUUCCAGAUUAGAAAACAGAAGGAGUAAUUUGAAGCCAUUUUGGUAUUCAAUCAAGUAGCUAAUCGAAGUCCAAAUCAUCCAUGAAACGACUGAAACAUAAAUAGGUGGACAUGAAGAUCUACCAAAUUGCGAAAACCCAAACCUAUUAAAACUAAAAUCUUAAACCUUAACACAGAAAUUAAUUAUAAAAAAAAUCAGAAGAACAUGAGAG